Molecule: ribosomal RNA, 443 nt
Filed under: uncultured prokaryote
Description: bacterial SSU rRNA
Rfam family: Bacterial small subunit ribosomal RNA
Source: RNAcentral
UAGGGAAUAUUGGGCAAUGGGUGCGAGCCUGACCCAGCCAUGCCGCGUGCCGGAAGACGGCCCUUCGGGUUGUAAACGGCUUUUAUAUAGGAACAAAAGGGCCCUGCGGGGCAGAUUGCGUGUACUAUAUGAAUAAGCACCGGCUAACUCCGUGCCAGCAGCCGCGGUAAUACGGAGGGUGCCAGCGUUGUCCGGAUUUAUUGGGUUUAAAGGGUACGUAGGCGGAAGGGUAAGUCCGGGGUGAAAGCCCGCAGCUCAACUGCGGUGGUGGCUUGGAUACUGGUCCUCUUGAGUGCCGUAGAGGUAGGCGGAAUUCAUGGUGUAGCGGUGAAAUGCAUAGAUACCAUGAGGAACACCGAUAGGGAAGCCAGCUUACUGGACGGUCACUGACGCUGAGGUACGAAAGCGUGGGUAGCAAACAGGAUUAGAUACCCCUGUAGUCC